UUUUUUUUUUUUUUUUUCCUCGUUUUAUUUUAUUUUAUUUUAUUUAUUUCUUUUGUUUAAUUUAUUUGUUUGCCCAUUUGUUUGUCCGUUUGUUUAUCUGAUUGUUCGAUUAUUAUUAUUUUCGCCAUUUCAUUUUAUUUUGUUUAUGUCAAAACAUUACCAAGUUAAUCGUUGAACAAACUACUUGGAUCAAUUUUUUAAUUUAUAAUCUAAUAAAAAAGUCUUCUUUUUAUUUUUUUUAUUUUUUUUAUUUUUGCGUAAAAAUUGGAUCAAUAUGAAUUGUUUAUCAGCCUAUAAGUUUUUUUGUUUCUUCAUUUUUUUAUUUUAUAAUACAAUGGACACUUCUUGUUUAAGCAAAGUUGAACACAAUGGUAGUACAUUAACAAUGAAUGACAACAUACCAUACAAAUUAAACAAUAUGACAAGCCAAUUAAUAAAUGUAAUUAAAAAAAAAUCUAACCAUGUUAGAAUGUUGUACAACGCACUAAAUGGAAAUAAUAAGGAACUUCCUCUGUAUAUUUUUGUAAAAGAUGAAAAUGAAAAAAAACGACAAAUUCUUAAGGAUUUAUAUUUAACGGGGAAGCUACAUUUUCUCCAGGGACAUAAUAACCCCUUGUCGAAAUAUUAUCUAGCUGUAAAAAAUAGACACGUAGCUACUAGUAUAUUACUAGAUGAAAAAUUAAAGAAAGAGCGUGAUUUUAUAAAUAACCUGACUGAAGAAGAUAAAAUUAACUACGUAAAAGGAAAACUCACAAAAUACGAGAAUCUUAGAAUAAAUGCUCAACAGAUAUACUCAAAGCUAGAAAAAAAGCUAAACUCAUUAGAAGAAAUUAUAGCGAUUUUAAAAAAAUAAAACCAAAACAAUAAAAAAAAUUAAGUUAACCCA
This 886-nucleotide long non-coding RNA is filed under the name Piliocolobus tephrosceles (Ugandan red Colobus). Its description in RNAcentral is "lncRNA (ENSPTEG00000025320.1)". The record is from RNAcentral. Lineage: Eukaryota; Metazoa; Chordata; Mammalia; Primates; Cercopithecidae.